This 253-nucleotide ribosomal RNA is filed under the name uncultured bacterium. RNAcentral's name for it is "partial 16S ribosomal RNA". It matches the Rfam family "Bacterial small subunit ribosomal RNA", at positions 524 to 776 of the family's 1533-position model. The record is from RNAcentral.
UACGUGGGGUGCAAGCGUUGUUCGGAAUUACUGGGCGUAAAGGGCGCGUAGGCGGCCUUCUAAGUCGAACGUGAAAUCCCCGGGCUCAACCCGGGAACUGCGUCCGAUACUGGAAGGCUUGAAUCCGGGAAAGGGAUGUGGAAUUCCAGGUGUAGCGGUGAAAUGCGUAGAUAUCUGGAGGAACACCGGUGGCGAAGGCGGCAUCCUGGACCGGUAUUGACGCUGAGGCGCGAAAGCCAGGGGAGCAAACGGG